RNAcentral lists this ribosomal RNA (250 nucleotides) under uncultured bacterium. RNAcentral's name for it is "partial 16S ribosomal RNA". It matches the Rfam family "Bacterial small subunit ribosomal RNA", at positions 355 to 596 of the family's 1533-position model. The record is from RNAcentral.
UGAGGAAUUUUGCGCAAUGGGGGCAACCCUGACGCAGCAACGCCGCGUGAGUGAAGAAGGCCUUUGGGUCGUAAAACUCUGUCAACAGGGAAGAAGUUACAAUUGUUUAAUAGAUGGUUGUAUUGACGGUACCUGUGGAGGAAGCGCCGGCUAACUCCGUGCCAGCAGCCGCGGUAAUACGGGGGGCGCAAGCGUUAUUCGGAAUUAUUGGGCGUAAAGGGCGCGCAGGCGGUCUUGUCCGUCAGGUGUG